UACGGGGGAGCAAGCGUUGUUCGGAUUUACUGGGCGUAAAGGGCGCGUAGGCGGUCGUGACAAGUCACUUGUGAAAUCUCCGGGCUUAACUCGGAACGGUCAAGUGAUACUGUCGGACUAGAGUACAGAAGGGGCAACUGGGAAUUCUCGGGUGUAGCGGUGAAAUGCGUAGAUAUCGAGAGGAACACCUGCGGCGAAGGCGGGUUGCUGGGCUGAUACUGACGCUGAGGCGCGAAAGCCAGGGGAGCGAACGGG
RNAcentral lists this ribosomal RNA (255 nucleotides) under uncultured bacterium. Its description in RNAcentral is "partial 16S ribosomal RNA". It matches the Rfam family "Bacterial small subunit ribosomal RNA", at positions 524 to 776 of the family's 1533-position model. The record is from RNAcentral.